AGCGUACACGGUGGAUGCCCUGGCAGUCAGAGGCGAUGAAGGACGUGCUAAUCUGCGAAAAGCGUCGGUAAGGUGAUAUGAACCGUUAUAGCCGGCGAUGUCCGAAUGGGGAAACCCAGUGCAAUUCGUUGCACUAUCGUUAACUGAAUACAUAGGUUAACGAGGCGAACCGGGGGAACUGAAACAUCUAAGUACCCCGAGGAAAAGAAAUCAACCGAGAUUCCCCCAGUAGCGGCGAGCGAACGGGGAGCAGCCCAGAGUCUGAAUCAGCUUGUGUGUUAGUGGAACGGUCUGGAAAGUCCGACGGUACAGGGUGAUAGUCCCGUACACCAAAAUGCACAGGCUGUGAACUCGAAGAGUAGGGCGGGACACGUGGUAUCCUGUCUGAAUAUGGGGGGACCAUCCUCCAAGGCUAAAUACUCCUGACUGACCGAUAGUGAACCAGUACCGUGAGGGAAAGGCGAAAAGAACCCCGGCGAGGGGAGUGAAAAAGAACCUGAAACCGUGUACGUACAAGCAGUGGGAGCACCUUCGGGUGUGACUGCGUACCUUUUGUAUAAUGGGUCAGCGACUUAUAUUCUGUAGCAAGGUUAACCGUAUAGGGGAGCCGCAGGGAAACCGAGUCUUAACUGGGCGUUAAGUUGCAGGGUAUAGACCCGAAACCCGGUGAUCUAGCCAUGGGCAGGUUGAAGGUUGGGUAACACUAACUGGAGGACCGAACCGACUAAUGUUGAAAAAUUAGCGGAUGACUUGUGGCUGGGGGUGAAAGGCCAAUCAAACCGGGAGAUAGCUGGUUCUCCCCGAAAGCUAUUUAGGUAGCGCCUCGUGAAUUCAUCUUCGGGGGUAGAGCACUGUUUCGGCUAGGGGGUCAUCCCGACUUACCAACCCGAUGCAAACUACGAAUACCGAAGAAUGUUAUCACGGGAGACACACGGCGGGUGCUAACGUCCGUCGUGAAGAGGGAAACAACCCAGACCGCCAGCUAAGGUCCCAAAGUCAUGGUUAAGUGGGAAACGAUGUGGGAAGGCACAGACAGCCAGGAUGUUGGCUUAGAAGCAGCCAUCAUUUAAAGAAAGCGUAAUAGCUCACUGGUCGAGUCGGCCUGCGCGGAAGAUGUAACGGGGCUAAACCAUGCACCGAAGCUGCGGCAGCGACACUAUGUGUUGUUGGGUAGGGGAGCGUUCUGUAAGCCUGCGAAGGUGACCUGUGAGGGUUGCUGGAGGUAUCAGAAGUGCGAAUGCUGACAUAAGUAACGAUAAAGCGGGUGAAAAGCCCGCUCGCCGGAAGACCAAGGGUUCCUGUCCAACGUUAAUCGGGGCAGGGUGAGUCGACCCCUAAGGCGAGGCCGAAAGGCGUAGUCGAUGGGAAACAGGUUAAUAUUCCUGUACUUGGUGUUACUGCGAAGGGGGGACGGAGAAGGCUAUGUUAGCCGGGCGACGGUUGUCCCGGUUUAAGCAUGUAGGCUGAUUGUCCAGGCAAAUCCGGAUAAUCAAGGCUGAGGUGUGAUGACGAGGCACUACGGUGCUGAAGUAACAAAUGCCCUGCUUCCAGGAAAAGCCUCUAAGCAUCAGGUAACAUCAAAUCGUACCCCAAACCGACACAGGUGGUCAGGUAGAGAAUACCAAGGCGCUUGAGAGAACUCGGGUGAAGGAACUAGGCAAAAUGGUGCCGUAACUUCGGGAGAAGGCACGCUGGUGUGUAGGUGAAGUCCCUGCGGAUGGAGCUGAGACCAGUCGAAGAUACCAGCUGGCUGCAACUGUUUAUUAAAAACACAGCACUGUGCAAACACGAAAGUGGACGUAUACGGUGUGACGCCUGCCCGGUGCCGGAAGGUUAAUUGAUGGGGUUAUCCGUAAGGAGAAGCUCUUGAUCGAAGCCCCGGUAAACGGCGGCCGUAACUAUAACGGUCCUAAGGUAGCGAAAUUCCUUGUCGGGUAAGUUCCGACCUGCACGAAUGGCGUAAUGAUGGCCAGGCUGUCUCCACCCGAGACUCAGUGAAAUUGAACUCGCUGUGAAGAUGCAGUGUACCCGCGGCAAGACGGAAAGACCCCGUGAACCUUUACUAUAGCUUGACACUGAACAUUGAGCCUUGAUGUGUAGGAUAGGUGGGAGGCUUUGAAGCGUGGACGCCAGUCUGCGUGGAGCCAACCUUGAAAUACCACCCUUUAAUGUUUGAUGUUCUAACGUUGGCCCCUUACCGGGGUUGCGGACAGUGUCUGGUGGGUAGUUUGACUGGGGCGGUCUCCUCCCAAAGCGUAACGGAGGAGCACGAAGGUUAGCUAAUCCUGGUCGGACAUCAGGAGGUUAGUGCAAUGGCAUAAGCUAGCUUGACUGCGAGCGUGACGGCGCGAGCAGGUGCGAAAGCAGGUCAUAGUGAUCCGGUGGUUCUGAAUGGAAGGGCCAUCGCUCAACGGAUAAAAGGUACUCCGGGGAUAACAGGCUGAUACCGCCCAAGAGUUCAUAUCGACGGCGGUGUUUGGCACCUCGAUGUCGGCUCAUCACAUCCUGGGGCUGAAGUAGGUCCCAAGGGUAUGGCUGUUCGCCAUUUAAAGKGGUACGCGAGCUGGGUUUAGAACGUCGUGAGACAGUUCGGUCCCUAUCUGCCGUGGGCGCUGGAGAAUUGAGGGGGGCUGCUCCUAGUACGAGAGGACCGGAGUGGACGCAUCACUGGUGUUCGGGUUGUCAUGCCAAUGGCACUGCCCGGUAGCUAAAUGCGGAAGAGAUAAGUGCUGAAAGCAUCUAAGCACGAAACUUGCCCCGAGAUGAGUUCU
RNAcentral lists this ribosomal RNA (2771 nucleotides) under Klebsiella pneumoniae. Its description in RNAcentral is "bacterial LSU rRNA". It matches the Rfam family "Bacterial large subunit ribosomal RNA". Lineage: Bacteria; Pseudomonadati; Pseudomonadota; Gammaproteobacteria; Enterobacterales; Enterobacteriaceae. The record is from RNAcentral.